This is a small nucleolar RNA of Ailuropoda melanoleuca (giant panda), 101 nucleotides long. NCBI's taxonomy places the organism in Eukaryota, Metazoa, Chordata, Mammalia, Carnivora, Ursidae. The record is from Ensembl.
AUCCUUUUGUAGUUCAUAAGCGUGGUGAUUGGAUGUACACGCCAUUGCGUGAUGUCUGUCUCCCUUGAACCUUAUGACCUGGGCACAUUACCCAUCUGAUG